Molecule: ribosomal RNA, 252 nt
Filed under: uncultured bacterium
Lineage: Bacteria
Description: partial 16S ribosomal RNA
Rfam family: Bacterial small subunit ribosomal RNA
Source: RNAcentral
UACGGAGGAUGCGAGCGUUAUCCGGAUUUAUUGGGUUUAAAGGGUGCGUAGGCGGGCUGUUAAGUCAGCGGUAGAAGCCCGGGGCUCAACCCCGGCGAGCCGUUGAAACUGGCUGUCUUGAGAUGUCGAGAGGUAUGCGGAAUGCGCAGUGUAGCGGUGAAAUGCUUAGAUAUUGCGCAGAACUCCGAUUGCGAAGGCAGCAUACCGGCGGCGAUCUGACGCUGAGGCACGAAAGCGUGGGUAUCGAACAGG